GCUGGAAUAGCUCAGUUGGUAGAGCAAUGCUCUCGUAAAGCAAAGGUCGUAAGUUCAAAUCUUAUUUCCAGCACCA
Molecule: transfer RNA, 76 nt
Filed under: Mollicutes bacterium
Lineage: Bacteria; Bacillati; Mycoplasmatota; Mollicutes
Description: tRNA-Thr
Rfam family: tRNA
About the family: Transfer RNA (tRNA) molecules are approximately 80 nucleotides in length. Their secondary structure includes four short double-helical elements and three loops (D, anti-codon, and T loops).
Source: RNAcentral